GAGUGAACGCUGGCGGCGUGCUUAACACAUGCAAGUCGAACGAUGAAGCCUAGCUUGCUAGGUAGAUUAGUGGCGCACGGGUGAGUAAUAUAUAGAUAAUGUGCCUCUUAGUCUGGGAUAGUCAUUGGAAACGAUGAUUAAUACUAGAUACUCCUUUUAAACUUAAGUUUAAUUGGGAAAGUUUUUCGCUAAGAGAUCAGUCUAUAUCGCAUCAGUUAGUUGGUAGGGUAAUGGCCUACCAAGACAAUGACGCGUAGCGGGUUUGAGAGGAUGAUCCGCCACACUGGUACUGAGACACGGACCAGACUCCUACGGGAGGCAGCAGUGAGGAAUAUUGCACAAUGGGGGAAACCCUGAUGCAGCAACGCCGCGUGGAGGAUGACGCAUUUCGGUGUGUAAACUCCUUUUAU
RNAcentral lists this ribosomal RNA (410 nucleotides) under uncultured bacterium UPB C3. Its description in RNAcentral is "bacterial SSU rRNA". It matches the Rfam family "Bacterial small subunit ribosomal RNA", at positions 27 to 439 of the family's 1533-position model. The record is from RNAcentral.